This 420-nucleotide long non-coding RNA is filed under the name Sorghum bicolor (sorghum). RNAcentral describes it as "long non-coding RNA (SBIC_LNC015346)". Lineage: Eukaryota; Viridiplantae; Streptophyta; Magnoliopsida; Poales; Poaceae. The record is from RNAcentral.
AAACAUUUGGUGGCCAAACAUAUAGAAUCUCUGAUCUAGAGAAACUCCGAUCCUUGUAUGGUGAAAAUUACAAUGGAUGGAAGCAAGGCGGUCAUACUCUUGAUGGUGAUCCUGGGAUGUUUCAUGAUUCCAACACACUGUAAGUGGACAUCACGCGUCGAGGCACGCAUUCGGAUGAAGUUACUUAUUGUUUUUUUAUUAAAUACAAAUUAUUUCCAUGAUAUCCAAUUCGAGAAAUAGAGAAUCGAUCUUUAAAAGUACUGUAAAAAUUAGGUUUACAUUAACAAAUUGUUUAAGUGAAUGCCCUUAUGUGCAUGCAGCUCGGAAUGUUGUUCAUAUGUGCCCAUGCAACAAUGAAGUCUGUAGUUGGGGUUACUGCUACUGCUGUUCACACAAAAGUUGUUUUAUAACGAUGGAGGA